AUUGAACGCUGGCGGCAGGCCUAACACAUGCGAGUCGAGCGGAUGAAGGGAGCUUGCUCCUGGAUUCAGCGGCGGACGGGUGAGUAAUGCCUAGGAAUCUGCCUGGUAGUGGGGGAUAACGUCCGGAAACGGGCGCUAAUACCGCAUACGUCCUGAGGGAGAAAGUGGGGGAUCUUCGGACCUCACGCUAUCAGAUGAGCCUAGGUCGGAUUAGCUAGUUGGUGGGGUAAAGGCCUACCAAGGCGACGAUCCGUAACUGGUCUGAGAGGAUGAUCAGUCACACUGGAACUGAGACACGGUCCAGACUCCUACGGGAGGCAGCAGUGGGGAAUAUUGGACAAUGGGCGAAAGCCUGAUCCAGCCAUGCCGCGUGUGUGAAGAAGGUCUUCGGAUUGUAAAGCACUUUAAGUUGGGAGGAAGGGCAGUAAGUUAAUACCUUGCUGGUUUGACGCUACCAACAGAAUAAGCACCGGCUAACUUCGUG
This 484-nucleotide ribosomal RNA is filed under the name uncultured bacterium. Its description in RNAcentral is "partial 16S ribosomal RNA". It matches the Rfam family "Bacterial small subunit ribosomal RNA", at positions 30 to 507 of the family's 1533-position model. The record is from RNAcentral.